AGUGAACGCUGGCGGUAGGCCUAACACAUGCAAGUCGAACGGCAGCACAGUAAGAGCUUGCUCUUACGGGUGGCGAGUGGCGGACGGGUGAGGAAUACAUCGGAAUCUACUUUUUCGUGGGGGAUAACGUAGGGAAACUUACGCUAAUACCGCAUACGACCUACGGGUGAAAGCAGGGGAUCUUCGGACCUUGCGCGAUUGAAUGAGCCGAUGUCGGAUUAGCUAGUUGGCGGGGUAAAGGCCCACCAAGGCGACGAUCCGUAGCUGGUCUGAGAGGAUGAAUCAGCACACUGGAACUGAGACACGGUCCAGACUCCUACGGGAGGCAGCAGUGGGGAAUAUUGGACAAUGGGCGCAAGCCUGAUCCAGCCAUACCGCGUGGGUGAAGAAGGCCUUCGGGUUGUAAAGCCCUUUUGUUGGGAAAGAAAAGCAGCAGGUUAAUACCCCGCUGUUCUGACGGUACCCAAAGAAUAAGCACCGGCUAACUUCGUG
This 492-nucleotide ribosomal RNA is filed under the name uncultured bacterium. RNAcentral describes it as "partial 16S ribosomal RNA". It matches the Rfam family "Bacterial small subunit ribosomal RNA", at positions 29 to 507 of the family's 1533-position model. The record is from RNAcentral.